CUGCUGCGGGCAGAUGAAGUGGACGUGGGAAUCCAUGCCCCCGGCUGUGAGCAGGCAGCCUUCGCCGGCAAUGAUCUCCGUGCCGGGGCCGAUGAUCACGUCCACGUCCGGCUGCACGUCCGGGUUGCCGGCCUUGCCCAUGCAGGCUAUGCGCCCGUCCCGAAUGCCCAGAUCGGCCUUGAUGACGCCGAGCGCCGCAUCCAGAAUAACGGCGUUGGUGAUGACCGUGUCCAUGGCGCCUUCGGCAUUGCCGCGCUGGCUCUGCCCCAUGCCGUCGCG
Molecule: small RNA, 279 nt
Filed under: Desulfovibrio legallii
Lineage: Bacteria; Pseudomonadati; Thermodesulfobacteriota; Desulfovibrionia; Desulfovibrionales; Desulfovibrionaceae
Description: 5' ureB small RNA
Rfam family: 5' ureB small RNA
Source: RNAcentral